This is a long non-coding RNA of Dreissena polymorpha, 3944 nucleotides long. RefSeq lists it as uncharacterized. The transcript is spliced from 8 exons. NCBI's taxonomy places the organism in Eukaryota, Metazoa, Mollusca, Bivalvia, Myida, Dreissenidae. The record is from RefSeq and is a predicted model, not a curated record.
GUAAUUAUGUAUCGUUCGUGGAAAAGACACAGUAACCAACAAAGUUCAUUUCUGAUUUCUUUGCGUUUUAUUUCUGCUUAUUAACACAACACAACGUUUCCAAAAUGUUUGUCAAAUACAAGAUACAUGCGAAGCCCGCAAUGGGCCCAUCCUGCGAAAGCCAGCAAUAAUGCGACUUGUAUGUUCGGCCGUUUAAGUAAGACUGCACUUCAUACAACGCAGAUGCCAAUUUAUACAAUAAUGGACAAAUAAUUUGGGUGACGGCUGUCUGGAUGAUUGACUUUAACAUGAGUUGAAUUACCUGAUACGGGAUGGCUUUAUGUGUGACUUACAUAUCUUGUGCAUAUAUAUGCCAAUAAUUAAGCGAGACCACGUUUGUUUAACUGUCACCUGUCAUUUAACAUGAAAAUAUACACAAAUUAACAGUGCUGCAUGUGUUUACAAUAGACAUAACAAAUUAGUGAACCCAGCCAUGGGCCAUAACUUGGUGCAUUUUUUUCGUCUUAUUUGACGACGACAUAUGAUGCCCAUUUAUGCAUUUCUUCAUGAAGACAGAUAUUAUGUAUUCAGUUACACCGAACAAGGAAUAUACAUGAAAUACACCAAUUAUGCGACAUGAAAUACAUCAAUUAUGCGACAGUCUAAAACAUUGCUAUAUUCUCUCACAGUAUCGGACUUAGGCGGUAUGUGUAACAUUGUGAUUUUUAAUUUCACAAACCAUUUGCCUGAUGUGGAAAUAUAGAUCUAUUAAUUGUCGAAAUAUGCAAUAUGAUAUAAACUCGGGUUUAUUUAAGAAUUUUAAUAAUUGCUUGGAUAAAACUAUUAAUAUAUGUAUGAUGAAGUCAUUGUUUACACGACGCCACAGCUUGCGGUUUAGGGUUUCUCAACCUCCACGCAGAGAUUUGACUGGAACCAUCAUAGCUGGUUCAAACCCUUGCCUUCAUAACCGACCACGUGAUGAAAGCCUAGCCACGUGGUACAAUAGUUUUACCGUUGUUAUAUUUACUUUUUUUAAUUAAGGCAAUUUUUUUUAUUAACCUAAACUUAAACACUAUUUUCAAAAUAUAAAUGAAAAUAAUAUAAUUUUUCAUAGUAUAAUAUUAAAAAAAAUCCUACCGAAUCUGGUAGGAUUUUCUUGUUAUGUCAGAGAUGGCAUGUUAGAGCAAGGAACGACAACUCUGCGUGGAGAUUGAGUGUUUCUAUUCCUCUUUGAAUAUACGUAUCUUUAUUCAAUUUUAAAGGGAACUUUUUGCAGUUUGGCAAAUUAACAAAAUUAAAAAAAAAUUGUUUCAGAUUCGCAAAUUUUCGGUUUACUUAUGAUAUUUGUGAGGAAACAGUAUUACUGAACAUUUGCCAUGGUCUAAUAUAGCCAUUUUAUGCAUCUUUUGACGAUUUAAAAACCUAAAAAUUAUAAAGCGCGAAACGAUUGAAUAAUUUGUUGUUGUCGUUUAAAUUUGUGAAACUACGAAUAUUGCUUAUAUAACGUAUAAAAUACGCAUGUAAUGUAUGCUUGGCAGGAUAGGUAAGUUUGCUAAUACGUUUUUACUUCAGGAAUUCGGGGGUCACUGGUUCGAGCCCUGCUGCGUGCUACUUUUUUGUUUAAUCCUUUUUUAAUUUUUAUUUUUGAUUUUUUACUGGAGCUUUUAAAAUUUCAUGUUUACAUUUAUCAAUAUAAAGUAUUUGAUUACAAACUUCAAAACAUGCCAAAAUCUGUGAAAAGGCCCCUUUAACACUACACACAUUUGAUCAAAAUGAGUAUCGUAUUUUUACAUAUAAUUAUUAGUCGCCCGCAUGGUCCAUUUUGCCCCGCAUUAAUUUUUAAAGCAUAGUUUUUAUUUCUAUUCGUUUCAUUUUGGUAAACCCUACAUAUUUUACGACACAUACUGUUUAUUGUUCUUUAAACUGUUAUUAAUGCAAAAUGACACCAUCUAAUAAGCUGUAUGCGCUUGGUAGAUGAUCAUUACACAAUGACUUUUGUUAUUUUGCACCUUACGCUCACCUCUAAUAUCGCAAAUUAAAUACCACUGUACUUGUAUUGCGCUCGAUCGCUCACAAGUUUCGGAAGACUAUUCCGUCGAUCAAUUGCUCAAUGUAUUGUUACUAAACCCAAUGCGUUCUAUGUUUCUAGCAAAAGUGUGAUAUUUUUAUUUUUUUAAUUACACUUUCUUCGGAUUGUUUUCGUCAAAUUAAGUUUAAUCAAAAUGUUGUUUAUGUGUAAAAAGAUAAUUGCGUCAAUAGAAAAUCACACUUUGUCAACAAAAAGUAACGCUACGAAGGUGGAUUUCUUCUUUUUUUGUAAUCAAAGGGUAAAACUAUGUCGUUUUAAUAUAAAAAAUUACGUCUAAGAUCUUCUUUAUGUUUAUUUCAAGUUCCACCAUGUUACUUGAGCGAUACUGCGUUUGCCGCGGGCAUUCUACCCUUGGAGCAAAGUACUGUAACACCGCAAAAUACUCAGUACCUGGUGUACGCCCAUAAUCCGGGCGGAUUCGAUUUCAAAAGUUCCGGAGCCGUGAACGCCGAGAACACGUGCGGCGACUCCAUGUCCACCGUCAGAGAGACGCUGAUUGUGAACAUCAUCAAUACGGCACCGUUGAUUACUAAUCCUUGGGGUUCCAGUGACGUCGCCGAGGACGUAAGCGGAACGUUGACGUUAAAGACGUUGGAUUUUGUUACUUUCGAUAAGUCUGAUGCCACCUGCUCAAUGACGAGCGCUGACGGAGGACCAUUCGCCGUCACUGAAUGGCUAGACGUUUUAUUCAGAGGGUAGAUUUACUAGACAGUCUACAAAAUUCUGAACUUAUUGAACGCUACCGUUUGGACAGACAGGGGAUUUUAUUUCUGAAUGACCUACUUACUCCUGUAAUUGCACCAACAAACAACAGAAACAAUAGUUUGAACAGUAUAAAAAAAAAUCUCAUUUCAUUACAAUAUUUUGCGACAUCUACCAUUCAACUAAAUGAUGGUGAUGUCCAUGAGGUUUCUCAACCCACAGUUUCACGGGUAAUUACACAGGUUACUGAUGCGUUGACAGAGCCUGAAAUUGUAAGACAAUUCAUAAAUCUACCAACUGCUGCGGGAGAAAUCCGCCAAAUAAAGGAGGAUUUCUACAAUAUUGCCAGAUUUCCGAAUGUAAUUGGGGUAAUAGAUGGUACACAUGUCCAAAUACAAGCCCCACAUGUGGAUGAACCGGCGUAUGUCAACCGGAUGGGAUAUCAUUCAAUAAACACUCAGAUCAUGUUUGAUGCCAAUUGUCUUAGUAGAGACAUUGUACCGCGAUAUACAUGCAUGCCAAAAUAUCAAGUUGCCAUCGUCAAUAUCGCAAAAGUUAUGACCAAGUUUAAAGUUGUGGGACAGAAUGACAGAUAGACAGGCAAAAAACAAUAUACCCCCGAUCAUUCAAUCCGGGGGUAUAAAAAAUCAAAUUAGAUACAGGGUGGUUGGUGAAUACGGGCCCUGGACUUUGAGACAAAGGCAACGUAUAAUCUUGACGUCACGUGCACUGACGACCUUCUUCAAACCACGGAUACUUACGUCGUCAAAGUCCAAAACGUCGGUCCAAAGAUAACGAGUUUGCCGACGGCGUCUACUCUGGACGAGUGGCAGACUGCGGAAAAGCUACUCACGACGUUGACGUUAGCGGAGGACGCGGCUGACUGCGUUUAAACGUCACCGACGUAUAACGAGUUUAACGUCAAAUACGAGCCCGCCACAAAAGUUUUAAAACAUAUGGGUGAUCUACUACGUCAGCGAGGCGGUUGCGGGGCGGUCGCUUAGCUACGACACGAACCCCUUUUACAACCUGCAUAUUGAGUACAGCGACGCCGCGGGGGUCUAGGGGCGGAGAGGAUUUUCACCGUCCAUAUUAACGAUAACAAAGUACCGACGAGCGACAACCUUAGCACUAAGCCGAACAACAUAUGCUUGAUUAAGGACGCCUUGCGAGA